This 1415-nucleotide long non-coding RNA is filed under the name Zostera marina. RNAcentral describes it as "long non-coding RNA (ZMAR_LNC005068)". The record is from RNAcentral. Lineage: Eukaryota; Viridiplantae; Streptophyta; Magnoliopsida; Alismatales; Zosteraceae.
AAUAAUAAGCUGAUUGAUUAGAAGAAAAUUUUUUUGGGCGUGCUUUGGUCGAAGAUAUUUUCCAGAGAUAUCGGCAUAUGAUGGAUUUUGGGGGCAAGAUCGGUAAGGCGAGAGGUAAAAAUCGAUCAUUCCCUUGGGCAUUGAUACCCGAUCACCGUUUGAUUUUAUUCAUAAUUUGCAAGUUCAUCCCUUUCGUUCCAUGGAUCUGAAAUUUGAAAUACUGAUGAGAUUUAGAUUUGAGAUAUUAAGGGUUUCUGAUCUAAUUUGAAAUAAUUAAGGAUUCUUGAUAUGUCUAUCUAGCUAUUUCAAGAAUAAUCUGAUUUGUUGUUUUGUAAACCACGCAUAAAAUCUAGUGAUCAAGUUUUUUGUAGUGAUUAAAAAUAACACCAGUUGAAAUGGUCACUGAAACUAAGUUGAAAUAUAGGAUUAAUGUUAUUAUUAGAAUUUAGAACACUGUGAAUUGUAGUUUGGUUAAAUCGUAGUUUUUUGUAGUUAUUGAAAAUAACACUAGUUGAAAUGAUCACUGAAACUAAGUUGAAAUACAGGAUUAAUGUUAUUAUUAGAACACUGUGGACUGUAGUUUGGUUAAUUCGUAGUUGUACUAGAGUUUCUAUUCAACUAUGUGUAUGGUAGUAUGACUAUGGUGUCUGGGAAUCCUGGAUCCACCAAUGGUAUGAUGUAUACCAACCAGUCGAUCUGAUUGGACUUUAAUAGCUACAAUUCUUACAAUCUUUAACUAAAUACUAGUUGAUGGUUGUUAUUUGUCUGUCUUAAAAAUUCCGCCACAAGCUUUGAAAAUGCAGUGGUUUUAUCUUCAAGAAGCUUUCUAGGGGAGUCGUAUUCCAAAACUUUUCCUGCAUCAAAAAUGAUUUUGUUCAGCUCAUGAAUAAAGAGAAACUAUUUGAUUCAGAGUGGUUCGACAUGAAAUGAUAUAUAUACCUUCAUCAAGAACAAGAACUAGGUCAUUGUCAAUUAUAGUGGCGAUUCGAUGAGCCACUGAGAUGACAGUGCAAUUUCCAGUUUCUUCUCGUAUUGUCUUUUGAAUCACAUUAUCUGUUGCAGUAUCCACUGAAGCUGUGGCCUCAUCUAACACGAGAAUUCGUCUCUUCUUUAGCAAAGCCCUUGCAAGACAAACCAACUGUCUUUGACCCACACUCCAAUUCUCCCCAUUUUCCGCAACUGCAUGGUAAGUCCCUUAUUCAUGUUAGCAUAUUUAAAUCAAUCAUAUUUAUGUUAAUUGUAGUUGAUGAAUUGAGUUCUUGUCAUCCUUUUUAUACCGGGUGCAUCAAGAAGUCUGUCAUCUUUUUUGACUAUUUCCCCAAGAUAGCACCUCUUCAAAGCCUAAAUAUGGCAAAAAUACGUUUCAGAAAAUAGGAGGAAGAAACUAAGAAAGAUGGAAAGAAUUUUUUUUGCAC